This 253-nucleotide ribosomal RNA is filed under the name uncultured bacterium. RNAcentral describes it as "partial 16S ribosomal RNA". It matches the Rfam family "Bacterial small subunit ribosomal RNA", at positions 524 to 776 of the family's 1533-position model. The record is from RNAcentral.
UACGAAGGGUGCAAGCGUUACUCGGAAUUACUGGGCGUAAAGCGUGCGUAGGCGGUUUGUUAAGUCUGUUGUGAAAGCCCCGGGCUCAACCUGGGAAUGGCAAUGGAAACUGGCGAGCUAGAGUACGGUAGAGGAGAGUGGAAUUCCCGGUGUAGCAGUGAAAUGCGUAGAGAUCGGGAGGAACACCGGUGGCGAAGGCGGGUCUCUGGGCAAUUCCUGACGCUGAGGCGCGAAAGCGUGGGGAGCAAACGGG